Molecule: ribosomal RNA, 433 nt
Filed under: uncultured bacterium
Lineage: Bacteria
Description: partial 16S ribosomal RNA
Rfam family: Bacterial small subunit ribosomal RNA
Source: RNAcentral
AACGAACGCUGGCGGCAGGCCUAACACAUGCAAGUCGAGCGCACCCUUCGGGGUGAGCGGCGGACGGGUGAGUAACGCGUGGGAACGUGCCCUUCUCUGAGGAAUAGCCUCGGGAAACUGAGAGUAAUACCGCAUACGCCCUUUGGGGGAAAGAUUUAUCGGAGAAGGAUCGGCCCGCGUUGGAUUAGGUAGUUGGUGGGGUAAUGGCCCACCAAGCCGACGAUCCAUAGCUGGUUUGAGAGGAUGAUCAGCCACACUGGGACUGAGACACGGCCCAGACUCCUACGGGAGGCAGCAGUGGGGAAUCUUAGACAAUGGGGGCAACCCUGAUCUAGCCAUGCCGCGUGAGUGAUGAAGGCCUUAGGGUUGUAAAGCUCUUUCAGCUGGGAAGAUAAUGACGGUACCAGCAGAAGAAGCCCCGGCUAACUCCGUG